RNAcentral lists this long non-coding RNA (224 nucleotides) under Elaeis guineensis (African oil palm). Its description in RNAcentral is "long non-coding RNA (EGUI_LNC051058)". Lineage: Eukaryota; Viridiplantae; Streptophyta; Magnoliopsida; Arecales; Arecaceae. The record is from RNAcentral.
GGGUCAUACUAUCCAGUAUAAAUUGGUAGGUCACUCAAAUCAUUCCUCCGAUACGAUUUAGUUAUUGAGGCUUUGGAGGCACAAUGGUCUGUGGUGCUUGAGUAUGCUAUCCUCGGAUAGUAGGUUGCAUAGGCUGUCACUCUUGUAUGCUUCGAUCAUCGAGCCUUUGGAGGCAUGGUGGUCUGGCUUGGGCUAUUAAAUAUAUGGAGGCUAGUUAUGACACC